This 440-nucleotide ribosomal RNA is filed under the name uncultured bacterium. RNAcentral's name for it is "partial 16S ribosomal RNA". It matches the Rfam family "Bacterial small subunit ribosomal RNA", at positions 338 to 795 of the family's 1533-position model. The record is from RNAcentral.
CCUACGGGAGGCAGCAGUGGGGAAUAUUGGACAAUGGGGGGAACCCUGAUCCAGCGACGCCGCGUGAGUGAAGAAGUAUUUCGGUAUGUAAAGCUCUAUCAGCAGGGAAGAAAAUGACGGUACCUGACUAAGAAGCCCCGGCUAACUACGUGCCAGCAGCCGCGGUAAUACGGAGGGGGCAAGCGUUAUCCGGAUUUACUGGGUGUACAGUGAGCGUAGACGGUGCAGCAAGUCUGAUGGGAAAGGUCCGGGGCCAACCCCGGGACUGCAUUGGAAACUGUUGAACUGGAGUACAGGAGAGGUAAGCGGAAUGCCUAGUGUAGCGGUGAAAUGCGUAGAUAUUAGGAGGAACACCAGUGGCGAAGGCGGCUUACUGGCCUGUAACUGACGUUGAGGCUCGAAAGCGUGGGGAGCGAACAGGAUUAGAUACCCUGGUAGUC